GAGAAAGGAGGAAGGCAGUUGAAUAAGUUUGGUACUAAAGGAAGUGGACCAGGACAGUUCAUCAACCCAUGUGGUAUUAUCCCGUCCAACGGCAGAUUGCUGGUUGUGGAUCAGUCCAAUCACCGUAUCCAGGUUUUCACUACUGAUGGAAACUUCAUUACCAUGUUCGGAUCAGAAGGAGAGUCAGAUGGUCAGUUCAAGUAUCCUAAGUACAUUGCCGAGGAUAGGCAUGGACACGUCCUGGUCACUGAUAAUAACAACCACCGUGUUCAAGUGUUCACUUCUGACACAUUCUCUCACGUGGCUACUUUCGGUUCAAGCAGUUGUCUUUCUCAUCCGGUCGGCAUUGCAGUAUCACCCAGUGGUGCUGUGUAUGUUAGUAACUAUGGCAAAAACUGUAUCACAAUGUUCUAACUUUUGUCCUGGAGCAUCUUGUUUCUUGUUCUACACUAAUGUUUCUCACUGCUGUGAAACAUGAACAGGACCAGUAUUAGCAGUUUGUUUGCUCAGGCUUAACUAUAGUUUUUCAGUUUUUUUGUGUGACACAUCGAGUAUGAAUAACGUUGCCCGUAGCUAACAUGUAUUGGGCAGGCCAACAGUAGAUCCAGCCAAGUCAUGACCGACUGGACCAGUUCCAACAUGCCUGAUUAAGAUGGUGAACAUUAUGAGCAUUGCCAAUAUUUUUGCUGUUUCUCAUACUUGCGUGCUUGAAUGCGUGCUUGCAUAUGUGUGUAUAUGUGUGUGUGCAUUUGUUUGUGUGUGUAUGUGUGUGUCAGUGUGUGUGUGGGUGUGGGUGUGUGUGUGUGUGUGUGUGUGUGUGUGUGUGUGCAUGUUUGUGUAUGCGUUUGUGUAUGCAUGCAUUUGCUUAUGAACUCCUGCACUGAGUUGUAUAUAUACAUUGUAUUUGGAUCACUCUCAUUGUUACAAUCCUAUUCUCGAUGUGCAGAGGAUGAUUCUAUUGAUUGUGUUGGCUGGGUGCUCUUUUUCCUUUCUCUGAAAAUCCAUUGCAUUUCAGCAAAAUGUCUCGCUGCUAAGUGUCGCAAUACAUCAUAAAGUUUAUUAAAGUCACUUUUGGAUACAAUGAAGAAUGUGCACAAUGUCUGAGGUGCUGUUUUCUUUCUAUCGUGUUUUGUGGUGCUUAGUGCUAAUAUCUAUAUUUUAGAAUUGUUUCAAAAUGUUUUAAAUCCUGCUGCUCACCCUUUGUUUGUUUGAAGAGAUGGAGUAUUGAUAGUUGUCUGAUGAUUGCCUAUGGAGUAUGGACAUGAAACUCUUACUUCGAAGUAGUUACAAUGAUGAUG
Long non-coding RNA from Sycon ciliatum, 1298 nucleotides. RefSeq lists it as uncharacterized. The transcript has 3 exons. NCBI's taxonomy places the organism in Eukaryota, Metazoa, Porifera, Calcarea, Leucosolenida, Sycettidae. The record is from RefSeq and is a predicted model, not a curated record.